CGCGUAGGCGGUUUUUUAAGUCUGAUGCGAAAGCCCACGGCUCAACCGUGGAGGGUCAUUGGAAACUGGAAAACUUGAGUGCAGAAGAGGAAAGUGGAAUUCCAUGUGUAGCGGUGAAAUGCGCAGAGAUAUGGAGGAACACCAGUGGCGAAGGCGACUUUCUGGUCUGUAACUGACGCUGAUGUGCGAAAGCGUGGGGAUCAAACA
This 207-nucleotide ribosomal RNA is filed under the name uncultured bacterium. RNAcentral's name for it is "partial 16S ribosomal RNA". It matches the Rfam family "Bacterial small subunit ribosomal RNA", at positions 568 to 774 of the family's 1533-position model. The record is from RNAcentral.